This 257-nucleotide long non-coding RNA is filed under the name Elaeis guineensis (African oil palm). Its description in RNAcentral is "long non-coding RNA (EGUI_LNC064624)". The record is from RNAcentral. Lineage: Eukaryota; Viridiplantae; Streptophyta; Magnoliopsida; Arecales; Arecaceae.
CCAUCUGAUCGGGACUCACAAUAAAGGGACUGUAUCAUACAUUAACUGCACCUAGAGGUUCAUCAUCUUUUAUUCUGCUAGAUUGUCACACAUACUGCAAGGUAUCACUGAUGGAUUGUGAGACCCACGAGCAUCAUUUUGAUGAUCAAUGAUCCUUGAUGGGCAGAGUUGGAAUGGUUCCAACUCAUUGAAAAGAGUUUUAAUGAUAUUAUGAUAGGGAUCAUAAUAUAUCUCACUACUAGACAGAAUAAAACUUA